AGAGUUUGAUCAUGGCUCAGGAUGAACGCUAGCUACAGGCUUAACACAUGCAAGUCGAGGGGAAACGACAUCGAAAGCUUGCUUUUGUAUGGGCGUCGACCGGCGCACGGGUGAGUAACGCGUAUCCAACCUGCCCACCACUUGGGGAUAACCUUGCGAAAGUAAGACUAAUACCCAAUGACGUCUCUAGAAGACAUCUGAAAGAGAUUUAAAAGAUUUAUCGGUGAUGGAUGGGGAUGCGUCUGAUUAGCUUGUUGGCGGGGUAACGGCCACCAAGGCGACGAUCAGUAGGGGUUCUGAGAGGAAGGUCCCCCACAUUGGAACUGAGACACGGUCCAAACUCCUACGGGAGCA
This 354-nucleotide ribosomal RNA is filed under the name uncultured bacterium. RNAcentral's name for it is "bacterial SSU rRNA". It matches the Rfam family "Bacterial small subunit ribosomal RNA", at positions 8 to 349 of the family's 1533-position model. The record is from RNAcentral.